GAAACCCUACUGUGUGCGUAAAAAGUUCUCGAUGUUUUGAACCAACACUUUUACAUCGGGAGUCCGGGCUCUAUGGCGGCAAAACAAUGCCUACACGGGACUGUUAAGCGUUAUAGGAGGACACCCACCUGCUCAGGCAGGCUCAAAACUCGGCUAAGACGGCAUGGUGGGGCUCUU
RNAcentral lists this non-coding RNA (177 nucleotides) under Megasphaera micronuciformis. RNAcentral's name for it is "6S RNA". It matches the Rfam family "6S / SsrS RNA". Rfam says of the family: E. coli 6S RNA was the first non coding RNA to be sequenced, but its function was unknown until recently. RNAcentral also lists the same sequence under 2 other names. The record is from RNAcentral. Lineage: Bacteria; Bacillati; Bacillota; Negativicutes; Veillonellales; Veillonellaceae.